CUUGGUGGUAGUAAGAUGCUUGGAGUGAAUGUCCUGCUAGCGGGCACGCGCGACGUGGGUACUGAUCUUGGUGGUAUUAANUCUUGGCACGAAUUGGAUGAGCGGGCGAAUGAAACACUUUGGGGAUGCCCUGGAACUAGUCAAACAUGACUUCCAAUGGAUUGAAUAUAGAGGACAACCUUUUUUUGUUUGCAAUAUCUUGGUGGUACUAAUCAAUGCCAGGAACAAUGUUAGUUCUCUCUGCUGUCUAACUGUCUGUAAAAAUGGACAACUUGACCAACUUGACUUCAAAUCAGGUAGGACUACCCGCUGAACUUAAGCAUAUCAAUAAGCGGAGGAAAAGAAACUAACAAGGAUUCCCCUAGUAACUGCGAGUGAAGCGGGAAAAGCUCAAAUUUAAAAUCUGGCAGAUGUUUGUCUGUCUGAGUUGUAACCUAGAGAAGUGUAACCUGUGCUGGACCAUGUACAAGUCUCCUGGAAUGGAGCAUCAUAGAGGGUGAGAAUCCCGUCUUUGACAUGGACUACCAGUGCACUGUGGUUACACACUCAACGAGUCGAGUUGUUUGGGAAUGCAGCUCUAAAUGGGUGGUAAAUUCCAUCUAAAGCUAAAUAUUGGCGAGAGACCGAUAGCGAACAAGUACCGUGAGGGAAAGAUGAAAAGAACUUUGGAAAGAGAGUUAAACAGUAUGUGAAAUUGUUGAAAGGGAAACACUUGAAGUCAGCUGCAUUGGCUGGGGAUCAAGCCAGCUUAUUUGCUGGGUGUACUUCCUGGUUGAUGGGCCAACAUCAGUUUUGACCAUCAGAGAAAGGCUAAGGGAAUGUGGCACCUUUAUAGGUGUGUUAUAGCCCUUGGUUGUAUGUGGUGGUUGGGACUGAGGACAGCAGC
Molecule: ribosomal RNA, 886 nt
Filed under: Amanita sp.
Lineage: Eukaryota; Fungi; Basidiomycota; Agaricomycetes; Agaricales; Amanitaceae
Description: eukaryotic LSU rRNA
Rfam family: Eukaryotic large subunit ribosomal RNA (bases 283-886)
Source: RNAcentral